CGAACUAUAUACACAUUUCUUCUCAGCUGCUCUUGAUGGAAGUACUACACGACAAAAUGGGAAAUGUGCAUUUGUACCGAAGCAACAAUCUGAAUACCAUAAGCUACCGACAACAAUGAACAUCGACAGCAGCAGCGAUAUUCUCAGAAAUGAUUGACAAGAGAACACAAUAAAGAAAUAACAUCAUUUCUUGUAAAAUAAUUAUAUAAAGUGUAUUUAGAAAGAGUUCCUAUAAGUCAGAUUGUAAUUUUGUAAUUUUACAAUAAUUUCAUUCUGUCGUUUGAUCGAUAGAACUAAAAUAACUCUUCUCAUAUGGCAAUUGGAAAUGACGAUCAAAAGUUGUGUUCAUGGUGUGUGAAGCGGUGGUGUGGCGCAGCGUUUUACCGAUCAUUUUUGAAUCUCCACUCGUCAGUACAUAGCUUUAAACGUUUGCUUUCAGUCAACUUCGUACGGCCCGGUACGAACUCAGAUUGCUGUGUAUACGCAUAUUUCUCCCACCAAACCAAAGCACUGGAGAAAGAAAUGUGCAUAUAGUUCGAUCCUCUGACCGCUAGGGGGUGGUAAUUCGUGGAACAUAUUUUUGGCUGAAUUCGUAAUUUCCCUAUUCGUUUUUGAUGCUGCACCACGCGGCCAAGCACCGAAGUUCCACGCUAGAUAUACAAGAAACUAUUUAGUUCCACAAACGAGCUAUACUCGCUGUGAUUCCACGUUAUAAGAGCCUAUUUCAUUAUACGGUUCCAUGGAAAACUAU
This is a long non-coding RNA of Bombus pyrosoma, 751 nucleotides long. RefSeq lists it as uncharacterized. The transcript has 3 exons. The record is from RefSeq and is a predicted model, not a curated record. Lineage: Eukaryota; Metazoa; Arthropoda; Insecta; Hymenoptera; Apidae.